AUUUAAGCAUAUAAGUAAGCGGAGGACAAGAAACUAACAGGAUCCCCAUAGUAAUGGCGAAUGAACCGGGAUAAACUCAGCAUGGAAAUUGGGGCCUUUGGCUUUGACUUGUAAUCUGGUGAGGCAUUGCCAACAGAGGCGCAUAUGUAAGUCUCUUGGAAAAGAGCAUCAACGAAGGUGAGAGUCCUGAUUGUCAUGUGCAGCCCCCCUGUGCACGGUGUGCCUUCUAAGAGUCACGUUCCUUGGGAUUGGAGCGCAAAUUGGGUGGUAACUUUCAUCUGAAGUUAAACAAUGGUUUGGGACCGAUAGGAAACAAGUACCAUGAGGGAAAGGUGAAAAGGACUUUGGAAAGAGAGUUAAAAGUGCCUGAAAUUGCUGAAGGGGAAGCGAAUGGAACCAGUAGUGCUGGGUGAGAUUGUCACAUGCUACAAGGAUUGGUUGCUGCCACAACGCAAGUGUGAUGGCAAUUUGUGAAUUGCUAGUGUGUGGUGUGUCUUACCUAGUGGGUCAUUGUGGGUUUAUGCAUUAAGAUAAGUCAAAGCAAGCGGGAGCAAGUUUACGAGUUUGUGAAUGUGUGUUGUUAUGCUUGUGCGUAAGCUUUAGUGUUUGUCUGGCUGCAGGGCUGUCCAUCCUCGAGCUGAGGGUUGCGAUGAGCAUAACCUUCUGCACAGACCUUGGCGAAAUGGUGUCCUUA
RNAcentral lists this ribosomal RNA (694 nucleotides) under Dinophysis odiosa. Its description in RNAcentral is "LSU rRNA". It matches the Rfam family "Eukaryotic large subunit ribosomal RNA", at positions 32 to 644 of the family's 3401-position model. The record is from RNAcentral. Lineage: Eukaryota; Dinophyceae; Dinophysales; Dinophysaceae.